This 904-nucleotide unclassified non-coding RNA is filed under the name Hevea brasiliensis (rubber tree). The record is from RNAcentral. Lineage: Eukaryota; Viridiplantae; Streptophyta; Magnoliopsida; Malpighiales; Euphorbiaceae.
GAAAUGUGAUGUUUAUGGGUUUGGGGUUUUGGUACUGGAGGUUGUUACUGGCAAGAGGCCUGUUGAGUACAUGGAAGAUGAUGUGGUGGUGCUUUGUGACAUGGUCAGAGGAGCACUGGAGGAAGGAAGGAUAGAAGAAUGUGUUGAUGAAAGGCUCCAAGGGAAUUUCCCAGCUGAUGAGGCAGUUCCAGUAAUGAAAUUGGGAUUGAUUUGCACUUCACAAGUGCCAUCAAACAGGCCAGAUAUGGGAGAGGUAGUAAAUAUAUUGGAGCUGAUCAGAUGCCCUUCAGAAGGACAAGAAGAGUUGGGAUGAAUGUGAAACCAUAAUUAAAAAUUAAAGAGUUAAGGAUUUACUAUGGGUUAUCCGGCGAAGAGGAAUCCGGUUUGUUCAAUUGAUCAAAGAGGAUAAACUUCAUUGUUGGAAGUUCUUUCCUUUUAUUUAUCUUGUAUUGGUUGGUUCUUCUCUUGUUUAUUUUCAGUUUAUGCUUGUAGUUUCUUCUCAAUGUUACAGUUAAGUUACCGGAUUCCUUUUCACCGGCUAUAUUAUUGCUACUUAUCUUCAUCUUCCACUGGGCCUUUGCUUUUGUUUCUAGUUAUUAGCUAUAAUUGCACUGAUUUCUGACUAUAAGUUUGCGAGGCACUAAGCCUGAAACUUGUUUGAUUGCAUUGUAAAUCAUUCAGGCAUUUUGAUAUGAACUUCCUUGUGGAUUUCUUGUUUCUGGCCAACAUUCUUACUUUGGUAGUGAAUGCCUUGCUCGUGUAACUCCAGCUGGUGCAGACAAGCUGAAAACUUUCCACAGGAAGUAUAUAGUUCUCAAUGCUUGUGUUGACUCCAUGGUUGCAGACUUUGGGCACAAGUCCUGUAUCGCAGUUUAUCUAGUGCUUCACUUUUUCAGUGAACGGC